This 96-nucleotide transfer RNA is filed under the name Methanothrix sp. Its description in RNAcentral is "tRNA-Ser". It matches the Rfam family "tRNA". Rfam says of the family: Transfer RNA (tRNA) molecules are approximately 80 nucleotides in length. Their secondary structure includes four short double-helical elements and three loops (D, anti-codon, and T loops). Lineage: Archaea; Methanobacteriati; Methanobacteriota; Methanomicrobia; Methanotrichales; Methanotrichaceae. RNAcentral also lists the same sequence under 1 other name. The record is from RNAcentral.
GCCGAGGUAGUCUAGUGGUAAGGCGCAAGCCUGGAAUUCUCUACUGAAAGCUUGUGAUUCGCAAGGGUCGCGGGAGUUCGAAUCUCCCCCUCGGCG